Molecule: long non-coding RNA, 378 nt
Organism: Zingiber officinale
Lineage: Eukaryota; Viridiplantae; Streptophyta; Magnoliopsida; Zingiberales; Zingiberaceae
Exons: 2
Source: RefSeq, a predicted model, not a curated record
GUAGUGUCCAUCUCCAUCCAGUCCUUUAGUAGAUCAAGAAUGUCAUGCUAUAGAAUGUACCUCUUUUUUAUUGGAGAAGAUGAUUCUGUUUCCAUUUUGAUAUCAGGUUCAUAAGCAGGGUGUUGCACUUGGAAGAUCUGUUGACUUGACGAAGUUUGAUGGUUAUGACCAAUUGAUCGAGGAGUUAGAUCAGCUAUUUUAAUUGAAAGGAGAAUUGAUGGCUCCAAAUAAAAAUUGGAUGAUUGUAUUUACUGAUAAUGAGGACGAUAUGAUGCUUGUUGGAGAUGACCCUUGGCAGGAAUUUUGUGCUAUGGUCCGUAAGAUUUUUAUAUACACAAAAGAGGAGGUCCAGAAGAUGGAUUCAAGUACCUUGAACCC